CGGGCUAUAGCGUAAUGGUAGCGCACACCCUUGGGGUGGGUGAGGAUGGAGUCCGAUUCUCCAUAGCCCGA
RNAcentral lists this transfer RNA (71 nucleotides) under Candidatus Lloydbacteria bacterium RIFCSPHIGHO2_02_FULL_51_22. Its description in RNAcentral is "tRNA-Pro". It matches the Rfam family "tRNA". Rfam says of the family: Transfer RNA (tRNA) molecules are approximately 80 nucleotides in length. Their secondary structure includes four short double-helical elements and three loops (D, anti-codon, and T loops). Lineage: Bacteria; Candidatus Lloydiibacteriota. The record is from RNAcentral. RNAcentral also lists the same sequence under 1 other name.